Long non-coding RNA from Bombyx mori (domestic silkworm), 3784 nucleotides. RefSeq lists it as uncharacterized. The transcript is spliced from 2 exons. The record is from RefSeq and is a predicted model, not a curated record. Lineage: Eukaryota; Metazoa; Arthropoda; Insecta; Lepidoptera; Bombycidae.
GUUACGAAGGUACAAUUUACUUUGCUUGCAGAUCAUAGGGUAGAGUCGACCAAGUAUGAACGCGGCUUCGGUCGCGUACUUACCUAAUGUGAGGCUCGAAUGUCAUCGCCCUGCUUAAGCACAUACCCUUAGAAGCCCGCGGUAUGGGCUGGCUAAAGAUUUUUAUGGCGGGAAUGAAGUUACUGCACCUAAUUGAUGACGAGAAAUGCGCCACGUAGGGCACCGGUGACCAACAUGGCAGUCCAAGGGUUAAAAAUUAGUUUGCACACCCAAUAAAACAUAACUACGUAAUUACAUCAAGUUUGCCAGCAUCGAAUUUUUUUUUUAAUACACAGGCGGUUUAUGGAAUAAAAGAAACAAUAUCAAACUUUUAUUUAUUUUUAUUAUCUAUAUCCAAUUGUAAAAGGGGGAACCAGUCACUCUAUCACUCCGUGUCACUACGUAGCUACAGAUCUCAGCCAUUUACACAUUUAUAAAGAAAAAACAUCAACCGAAAUUACGUUUAAAAAUUCACAAAUACACAUUUAAUGUUGAUUACAAACUAACUUAAACACUAUUCGGUUUGAACAAAACGGGAGGCGUCAUCACGUCAAAACAACAUGUUUGGACGUUUUUUCUUCAUAAUAACGAUAGUAUUGGCGAUAGAAUAAGGACCGUACGCGAUUCAUACCAAUGUAUGUCUUGACGAUACAAAACAUUGAUAGAAAUCGUUGUUUUCAAUGCGUUUUAAAACAGAGAUGGUCGAACGGAAAGAUCUGUGUUUGUAAACGCAUUUAUUAGCGUCUCGUUGUGCUCAAACCCGACUUAUACGUUACUGCUCAUCCACGGCAAUGCGACGGCCACAAAUAUAAAAAUGCAGUGAGAGCACCUACUUACUGUUGAAGCGGAACAAAGGGCUGUUUUGAAAACUAAUGAUCUGACAGUUACACGAUCGUAUUCGAAAUUUAAAUAAUUCAACUGUCAUUCGGCUCGUUUCUAUUGUACUCGGAAAGAUGUUUUUUUUUAUUGCCCUUGUAGGCAAACGAGCAUACGGCCCACCUGAUGGUGAGUGGUCACCGUCGCCCAUGGACUCCAGCAAUGCCAGGGGCAGAGCCAAGCCGCUGCCUACCACCACCCGAUUCUAGGUGGAGUUCAUAGUCACCACAAUCGAAUGCCCCAUCCCCACUCUAGGGACACAAGUUCCAACUUGAGGGUAUCCGGUGUUACUCUAUGAAUGAACAUAACAAUUUUUGUGAGAAAAUUAUUUGUUGUCUUUCUGAAACGAUACUACUUCUGGUAAAUUUUUUACUUACAUUACUUUACUAUUCUAUUGCACUAUUUUCUUCAUUCAAUUAACAAGGCUCAUUUGAACACAAUGCUUAGUUAUGCUAACUUAUACCAACAAAAAUGUACAAUUUAGAAAAAUCAUUUUAAUAAUCAAAUAAUCAAAAAUGCGUUUAUUUGGCAAAUACUUAAUACUUUCCCACAAAUUCGAGAUGCACACAGGAAACAAAGUCUGAGCCAUAACAUUCCGUGUUACCAAUAUUAACAAGCUUCAAAUGAAGUCCUGUUUAUUUUAAUGUGAAUUUACAAACAGCCCUAUUAUGAUAACCAUGCAAAUUAUGUGUAUUUAUUUACACAUCUUAAAUUUACAUCUUAAUUCGAUAGCUAGACAGACCUCUCGCGAUAGUGUCAGACUGCGUGAAAUAUUCUAAAUACGAUGAAAAGGAAACCAAAGUUACUUCCGAAAUUACAAACAGAUUAAAAGAUAAAACGCAAUGUUUAUCAUUAAAAUCAGACCGUAAUAAGAAAAUACAACUUUUACAUUUAGUACAAUUUUGAAAAAUAUCACUUUAUCGUGUAAAUUACAUUAUUAUAAUUUCUACUUUUUAUUUAAUUAUGUAGUGGAUUAUUUUAUGUCUUAUACAUAUUCUUUAUAAUGACGUACAGUUACUGAUAUUUUAUUCGUAAUAACGAAGAAAAAAAAAACCAUUUUUUGUCGUUUACGUCAUGUUAAUUUUACAAAAAAAAAAAUUUUAGAAAAACAAUUACUUUUCAACAAAUUAAAAAAAAAAAACAGGCACAGUUAAAAAUAAAGCAUCCCUUACACAUCUAAAAUUGUUUAAUUUUAAACUUAGUCUAAGGGAAUUAUAUACCUAUAACAUAAAAUUACAACCCAUGCUGCGUCGAACUGAAUACAUAAAAAGUAUUGUAUUAAAAAAAAUUAAAGUUCGUAUCAACAAAAAAGAACGUUUAGAAUUAUAAUGUGUAAAAACUGCGUCGACGCCAGUACGGGAUCAAUUAAUCUAAUUUUCGUUUGGAGUGGUGUUUCUUACUAGAUGUGUAGGAUGCGGCCGGGCUCGUCGCUCACGAUGAUAUAAGCUGAAAAUAACAGUCUUUAAGAAUCCUCAAUAAUCAUGUUAUAAAAUUAAUUAAAUACAGAUCUCAAUUUCGAAAUUUUGUUUCAUCAAUAUAUCGAGCACAAGUUACAAUAUAUGGGCCAAUCAAUACUCAUAAUCCAAUAAAACAAUUUGAAACUAUAUAUAUUUUAAUUUAUUGUAAAUAAAAUCCAAUUUAAAGUGUUAUUGGUACAUGAAAAACAGUAUUCAAUUUAUAAAUGUAUUUGUAAAACAAAAACUUGAGGAAAACAUGCAAAAUAAAAUAAGCAAAAAAGUCUACCUUGUAAAGUAAAGCGGGUGUCUAUCCGUUCCACUUCAUUUUAUUGUUUUUUUUUUUUUAUUAUUAUUUUUAAUUAAACUUUUAUUUUCAUAAUAUAUUAUUAUUGUAAUAAUAUAUAACUAUGUCCUUUAUAAACUAUAGGUAUACUAUGUAGACAUCUACACUGCUCCCUUAACUCCUAACAUCUUAAAUACACUGCAACAAACAAAACAAAAUAAAAAUAAAUAAAGUUUUCAAACAUGCAUAUUAUGUGGUAGCGAAUGACAUCUAGGUCAUAUGGAACAAUUAAAUUAAAUAUAGAUUUAUAUGUUUAGCUAUAAUUCAAAAGACAAUGAGUAAACCUUGUUCGGUUACCAUAGAAACCUAUUGUAACUGCAAUAGCUCUGACCCAGCACUGUACGUUUAUGAUAUAAACAUGCAAAACAAUAAUAAUUUGACAAAGUUUGAACGGUCGACAAUAAAGCAUGUGUGCCGUGCGUGUUACAGAGGUCGUGUAAUAUAUAUAAUAAUAUAACUCUUUAUUUAACACCACAUGUACAGAAAAAACUUAAAAACAAAUAAUCAACGGUGACAUAUAUUGGCGGCCUUAUCGCUAAAAGCGAUCUCCUCCAGGCAACCUUGCAGGGAGAGGAAUUAGCGAACUGGACGGUGCUAUAUCAUAAUAAACUUAGAUAAAAAUAUAUACUUAUAUGUAUACACAUGUGAAAAAUAAAUACAAUAUAAGAUAGACUUACAUCGAUUAAAUACAAAUAAAUACUAAAAAUAUGCAAGUAAAUACAAAAGAAGUAGCAACUUGUAGUUAUAUCGUAGGAGUCAUAUUAUUGUGCAAGUUAGUGUGAUUUUAAUCUGAACUUGAAAAUUUCCGGCGAGGACGAUUGUUUGAUGCUUAAAGAUAGUGCAUUCCAUAAACGGACUGCUUCAACCGUAAAGGAAUGGUCAUAAAGUGACGACGUCCCGUGAGCCGGAAACUUCAGCAUUAAAUUCUGUACUGACCGACUUGACCGUGGCCUUGAUGAAGUCCUUCUUGUGCGCGAGGUCAAAGUCCGGGUAGUGGCUGUAGACCUGCUUGCAAACAGUCUUCAUAGUGAUCUGCUCGAGGUUCGCGCCCUCCAGGAUCUGCUUCACG